UUUGAAGGGCACAUGUCUGCUUAAGGGUGUCACGCAACCCUAGGUGGAAAAAAAAUUCCCUGCAGCCGUCACAGUUAAAGAAGGAUAGCACAUUCUGCUGGAACAUUUUUGGGGGAGAUUCCUUGAAGCUGCCAAAGGGGGAGAACACUGUUACAUUGGAGGGGAGAGGAUGGAAUGGAUAGAUAAUGGAUAGGUUCCAGUCGUCAAAGGCAUUGAUUUGCGUUGGAGAAGGGAGAUUUAUAUCUCAUUCAGUUAUUCAGCACUUGGCAUUUAAUGAUUGCGUUCAUUUAUAUCUCAUUUAGUGAUUCAGCACUUAGCACAAACGCGUUUUCUCUUUUUUUUUUUUAAUUCAUUCAGUUGCUGUUACAUUUUUUUUCAAUUUCAACUUGAAAAGAGAACGCUGAUUCCG
This 409-nucleotide long non-coding RNA is filed under the name Vigna radiata. RNAcentral describes it as "long non-coding RNA (VRAD_LNC015560)". Lineage: Eukaryota; Viridiplantae; Streptophyta; Magnoliopsida; Fabales; Fabaceae. The record is from RNAcentral.